AGUGAACGCUGGCGGUAGGCCUAACACAUGCAAGUCGAACGGCAGCACAGUAAGAGCUUGCUCUUACGGGUGGCGAGUGGCGGACGGGUGAGGAAUACAUCGGAAUCUACUUUUUCGUGGGGGAUAACGUAGGGAAACUUACGCUAAUACCGCAUACGACCUACGGGUGAAAGCAGGGGAUCUUCGGACCUUGCGCGAUUGAAUGAGCCGAUGUCGGAUUAGCUAGUUGGCGGGGUAAAGGCCCACCAAGGCGACGAUCCGUAGCUGGUCUGAGAGGAUGAUCAGCCACACUGGAACUGAGACACGGUCCAGACUCCUACGGGAGGCAGCAGUGGGGAAUAUUGGGCAAUGGGCGCAAGCCUGAUCCAGCCAUACCGUGUGGGUGAAGAAGGCCUUCGGGUUGUAAAGCCCUUUUGUCGGGAAAGAAAAGCAGCAGGUUAAUACCCCGCUGUUCUGACGGUACCCAAAGAAUAAGCACCGGCUAACUUCGUG
RNAcentral lists this ribosomal RNA (492 nucleotides) under uncultured bacterium. RNAcentral describes it as "partial 16S ribosomal RNA". It matches the Rfam family "Bacterial small subunit ribosomal RNA", at positions 29 to 507 of the family's 1533-position model. The record is from RNAcentral.